Molecule: ribosomal RNA, 272 nt
Filed under: Mesorhizobium sp.
Lineage: Bacteria; Pseudomonadati; Pseudomonadota; Alphaproteobacteria; Hyphomicrobiales; Phyllobacteriaceae
Description: partial 23S ribosomal RNA
Rfam family: Bacterial large subunit ribosomal RNA
Source: RNAcentral
GUACGCGAGCUGGGUUUAGAACGUCGUGAGACAGUUCGGUCCCUAUCUGCCGUGGGCGUUGGAUGAUUGAUUGGAGUUGUUCCUAGUACGAGAGGACCGGAAUGAACGAACCGCUGGUGUUCGGGUUGUCAUGCCAAUGGCACUGCCCGGUAGCUACGUUCGGAACGGAUAACCGCUGAAAGCAUCUAAGCGGGAAGCCGGCCAAGAGAUGAGUCAUCCCUUGUACCUUGAGUACACAUAAGGGUCGUUGGAGACCACAACGUUGAUAGGUG